Molecule: Y RNA, 107 nt
Filed under: Cavia aperea (Brazilian guinea pig)
Lineage: Eukaryota; Metazoa; Chordata; Mammalia; Rodentia; Caviidae
Description: Y RNA (ENSCAPG00000003678.1)
Rfam family: Y RNA
About the family: Y RNAs are components of the Ro ribonucleoprotein particle (Ro RNP), in association with Ro60 and La proteins. The Y RNAs and Ro60 and La proteins are well conserved, but the function of the Ro RNP is not known.
Source: RNAcentral
GGCUGGUCCGAAGGUAGUGAGUUAUCUCGAUUGUUCGCAGUCAGUACAGAUUGAACUCCUUGUUCUACUCUUUCCCCCUUCUCACUACUGCACUUGACUAGUCUUUA